RNAcentral lists this ribosomal RNA (253 nucleotides) under uncultured bacterium. RNAcentral's name for it is "partial 16S ribosomal RNA". It matches the Rfam family "Bacterial small subunit ribosomal RNA", at positions 524 to 776 of the family's 1533-position model. The record is from RNAcentral.
UACGGGGGGGGCAGGCGUUGUUCGGAAUUACUGGGCGUAAAGGGCUCGUAGGCGGCCAACUAAGUCAGACGUGAAAUCCCUCGGCUUAACCGGGGAACUGCGUCUGAUACUGGAUGGCUUGAGUUUGGGAGAGGGAUGCAGAAUUCCAGGUGUAGCGGUGAAAUGCGUAGAUAUCUGGAGGAAUACCGGUGGCGAAGGCGGCAUCCUGGACCGGCAUUGACGCUGAGGAGCGAAAGCUAGGGGAGCAAACGGG